AAGUCGUAACAAGGUUUCCGUAGGUGAACUUGCGGAAGGAUCAUUCAUAAUAAGCGUUUUAUGGCACGUUUUAAAUCUAUAUCCACCUUGUAUGAAACGUCAGUCGAUCUCCUUCAUGGAGAUCGGCCAAACAUCAACCAUUCUUUUAACUCUUUGUCUGAAAAAUAUUAUGAAUAAACAAUUCAAAAUACAACUUUCAACAAUGGAUCUCUUGGCCCGC
RNAcentral lists this unclassified non-coding RNA (220 nucleotides) under Mortierella sp. RNAcentral describes it as "partial contains small subunit ribosomal RNA, internal transcribed spacer 1, and 5.8S ribosomal RNA". The stretch from base 1 to 46 matches the Rfam family "Eukaryotic small subunit ribosomal RNA", at positions 1786 to 1831 of the family's 1831-position model. The record is from RNAcentral. RNAcentral also lists the same sequence under 1 other name. Lineage: Eukaryota; Fungi; Mortierellomycota; Mortierellomycetes; Mortierellales; Mortierellaceae.